Molecule: ribosomal RNA, 501 nt
Filed under: uncultured bacterium
Lineage: Bacteria
Description: partial 16S ribosomal RNA
Rfam family: Bacterial small subunit ribosomal RNA
Source: RNAcentral
AUUGAACGCUGGCGGCAGGCUUAACACAUGCAAGUCGAGCGGAGAAAGGUAGCUUGCUACUGAUCUUAGCGGCGGACGGGUGAGUAAUGCUUAGGAAUCUGCCUAUUAGUGGGGGACAACAUUUCGAAAGGAAUGCUAAUACCGCAUACGUCCUACGGGAGAAAGCAGGGGAUCUUCGGACCUUGCGCUAAUAGAUGAGCCUAAGUCGGAUUAGCUAGUUGGUGGGGUAAAGGCCUACCAAGGCGGCGAUCUGUAGCGGGUCUGAGAGGAUGAUCCGCCACACCGGGACUGAGACACGGCCCAGACUCCUACGGGAGGCAGCAGUGGGGAAUAUUGGACGAUGGGCGCAAGCCUGAUCCAGCCAUGCCGCGUGUGUGAAGAAGGCCUUAUGGUUGUAAAGCACUUUAAGCGAGGAGGAGGCUACUUUAGUUAAUACCUAGAGAUAGUGGACGUUACUCGCAGAAUAAGCACCAGCUAACUCUGUGCCAGCCGCCGCGGUAA